UCGAGUUCGAGCGGUUCCUGGACAGGC
RNAcentral lists this small RNA (27 nucleotides) under Bombyx mori (domestic silkworm). RNAcentral describes it as "ovarian small RNA-28415". Lineage: Eukaryota; Metazoa; Arthropoda; Insecta; Lepidoptera; Bombycidae. The record is from RNAcentral.